Non-coding RNA from Monodelphis domestica (gray short-tailed opossum), 1113 nucleotides. The record is from RefSeq and is a predicted model, not a curated record. NCBI's taxonomy places the organism in Eukaryota, Metazoa, Chordata, Mammalia, Didelphimorphia, Didelphidae.
GCAAACAAGAACAGGUCUAACAUUCAGAAGAAAUUGGACUUGAAUCUUCAGGCUGAACCAAGAAAGAGACACACCACACCAGACUGGGCUGACAAACUCCUUCCUCCUCCAACACCAGGAAGCAAGUCCCCACUUGGCAGGAAGGAAGUGCUAGUCACAAGACCCAACUGCCACUCCCAGUUUGCCCCUUCCCCCACAAACUGUCAUUCUUAAUUUCCUUUCCACACUGGAAAGGUAAAAAGGUCUGGAAUAGCAUCUGAGAAAAGCAAGAAAAUAUUUCACAGAAGAUGCCCAGAUGUUCCCUUCUAACAGUGAUAGUGUUGCCUGCAAGUGGACUACAAGAUAAUAGAAGCUGGAUGAUUCUUGACAUGGAGGAGCAGACCAUAGGAGGGGACACACACAGAUGUGAAUUCCCACAAUCUUACCAUGGUCUGGAACUGAACACAAAAUCUUGGGGAAUGCCUGUACAUUAGAAGACAUUAUCCUGGUCUCUAAAAAGCAAAACAAUAUAGAAUUUUAUGGAUUACAAAGAAUUUCUACUUACAAAUUUUCAAUUUCUAUUCACAACAACCCAGUAAGGUAGUCUGGGUAAAUAUCUUUAUCCCCAUUUUAUAGGUGCAGAGACAGAAACUCACAAGUUUUAGGGAAACCAUGAACAGUUCCUAGAACUUGUUUCCAGUCUCUCCCUUUGCUUUUCAUGUGGUACUCCAAAUUAGAUUGAAAUCGAAAUAAUAUCAUAAGAUAAAGCAGUUUUCUUUUCUUUUUAAAGAGUUUAAGCACAAAGGCCCACAAUACAGAAAUUAGAAGCCUAAUGCUAACCCUUCACCAAGUAAAUCCUUCUAAUGAAAUGAAAAAUGGGGGUAAUCAGCCUUCACUACCAUACUGAAAUAUUUUGCAGGUCAUUGGGUUAAUGUAUGAAAACAUGUGGAAGAAAGUCACUAAAGAAUUAUUAUUAGGGGCUCCCAUAGGCAUCAUACUUAUCCUGAACAUAGAAGUUCAUGAUUCAUCAAACAAAUAUGAACUUACUACUCCCAUUUCCAACAUUUAUGCUGCUUCAUCAUCACAAGAGUGCUAUGGAUAUUACAUAGACACCAUGUACCACCAUAGUGACAA